UACCAGCACCCCGAGUGGUCGGGACGAUUAUUGGGCCUAAAGCAUCCGUAGCCGGUCCUACAAGUCUUCCGUUAAAUCCAGCUGCUCAACAGAUGGGCUGCGGAAGAUACUAUAGGGCUAGGAGGCGGGAGAGGCAAGCGGUACUCAGUGGGUAGGGGUAAAAUCCUCUGAUCCAUUGAAGACCACCAGUGGCGAAGGCGGCUUGCCAGAACGCGCUCGACGGUGAGGGAUGAAAGCUGGGGGAGCAAACCGG
RNAcentral lists this ribosomal RNA (253 nucleotides) under uncultured bacterium. RNAcentral describes it as "partial 16S ribosomal RNA". It matches the Rfam family "Archaeal small subunit ribosomal RNA", at positions 474 to 727 of the family's 1478-position model. The record is from RNAcentral.